GUGAGGAAUUUUGCGCAAUGGGGGCAACCCUGACGCAGCGACGCCGCGUGGAGGACGAAGUCUUUCGGGAUGUAAACUCCUGUCAGUGGGGACGAUAAUGACGGUACCCACAGAGGAAGCACCGGCUAACUCCGUGCCAGCAGCCGCGGUAAGACGGAGGGUGCAAGCGUUGUUCGGAAUUACUGGGCGUAAAGCGUAUGUAGGCGGCAAGUUAAGUUCAAUGUUAAAGCCCACGGCUCAACCGAGGAGAUGCAUUGAAUACUGGCUAGCUAGAGGGUGUUAGAGGAAGACGGAAUUCCCAGUGUAGCGGUGAAAUGCGUAGAUAUUGGGAGGAACAUCGGUAGCGAAAGCGGUCUUCUGGGUCAUACCUGACGCUGAGGUACGAAAGCGUGGGGAGCAAACGGGAUUAGAAACCCUGGUAGUCC
RNAcentral lists this ribosomal RNA (425 nucleotides) under uncultured bacterium. Its description in RNAcentral is "partial 16S ribosomal RNA". It matches the Rfam family "Bacterial small subunit ribosomal RNA", at positions 354 to 796 of the family's 1533-position model. The record is from RNAcentral.